CAGUAGCCGCGGGAAUACGGAGGGUGCAAGCGUUAAUCGGAAUUACUGGGCGUAAAGCGCACGCAGGCGGUCUGACAAGUCAGAUGUGAAAUCCCCGGGCUUAACCUGGGGACUGCAUUUGAAACUGUCAGGCUGGAGUCUUGUAGAGGGGGGUGGAAUUCCAGGUGUAGCGGUGAAAUGCGUAGAGAUCUGGAGGAAUACCGGUGGCGAAGGCGGCCCCCUGGACAAAGACUGACGCUCAGGUGCGAAAGCGUGGGGAGCAAACAGGAUUAGAUACCCCAGUAGUCCCUGUCUCUUAUAA
This 301-nucleotide ribosomal RNA is filed under the name uncultured bacterium. Its description in RNAcentral is "partial 16S ribosomal RNA". It matches the Rfam family "Bacterial small subunit ribosomal RNA", at positions 509 to 809 of the family's 1533-position model. The record is from RNAcentral.